CUAAAGUCCUGCAUUAAACACCAUCUAGCGAAGAAGGAAUCAAAGACGAAAUGCUGCCAUCUAGCAAUAAAAAAGGAAAGGCUUACACGGAACUGACGGAACCAAAGUAAAAGUAAACACCAACAUGGCGGCGACCGGCGAGGUGUGAACCGUGAAGUGUUGGCUGUCGUUCAAUCGUUCUAUUAACUACCUGUCACUUAUUUUCCUUGCACUGAAUAACUCUCAAGUCUCAAGUUAUUUUAUAGUCUUUCAGUAACUAAGCUUAGAAAAGCGCAAGUGGAACAUGUGAUUAGCACUUAGCAGCAAGAGUUGGAAUGAAGAACAGUUCAGCAGGCCUACAAUUGGACAACUCUGACAGUGAGGAACUUUUGGGAGUUGCUGUUGAUUUCUAUCUCCGAAGUCAGAAUUUCUCAGAAAAUUAUAAAUUACUUGAUACAUCAGUCUUCAAUGAAAUUGGAUAGAAAGGAGGAGAAUAUUCCAGCCGCUGUGGUUGCUGAUCCGUUCAGAAUCCAUUCGAGUGAUUGAAAUCGGACUUGGGACUAACGACGCCUUGUGGACAGCUGGCCAUUCGUAUUGAAGUGGAGACAAUGAUGAUCCGGACGUCGAGCAGUUAAUUGGUUCCACGGGUGGAACAGCCGGAGGAUCCGAAUAAAAUCCAGGAGUUGGAAGGACUUGAGUUGAGACAGACUAACUUGUCGACUUUGACGAGAAACGCAAGGCGUUGAUCGACGAUGUUGGCGAUUUGUUUCAAGACUUGAUGUUGAGACUCGUGAAGAUCCAAGUUGGCGGGCUCGUCGACGGCAAUUCUGAAACCACCACUGAUGCAAUCAAAAAGAGAAAUUAAUUUUGAACAGGUAACUUGAUUAAAAAAAAAAUAAUCAAAAUGCCACACCAUAAUCGAUUUCUCAGAAACUCCAAUCAGCUGGGCCAUUCGGCGACGACCUUCUCGAUUGGGAAACGGAUCUCUGGUGAGCUCUGCGUCGAGUAGCUCCACCUGAACCUGGAUUAGGAGGUCUGUUUCGUUCUUUAGCGAAGGGGUUGCUCCUUUUCCGACUUUGAAAGGAUUAUUUACACUUUCGUGAAGAGAUGGUAGUAACUGAGUGACAUAAAAAUGCCUCAUUCCUUCUUAAGGCUGUAUGCAUUAACCUAAUAACUAAUCAAUUGAGUGUAUUUAGGUUUACUGAAUUUUUUGCAAGUAAAAAGCGGAAGUACUCAAUCGGCAUUGCUGUCCAGGAUCAACAGCUUAUUUGAGAAUUUAGGUAUUAACCUUGGAGUUUCUUCUCGUCUUUACCGAUAUCAGAUAAUUCAAAAUAUCCAGCCAGUUCGGCGUUUGACUUCUCAAUGGUUCCCAGCUGAAAAUGGAUUGUUAAACGAAGAGUAAUUUUAUAAGAUUUCUUUAUAAGCGAAGUGUGUAGAAGCCCACAAGGAAGGACACAAGAAAAUGUUUUAAAAAUCACUUUGAUUAUAAAGUUCGUGAGAAAAAAAGGUUUUGAGGUGAAAGAAGCAAACUCGCUUCGUUCUCACGUCCCUCACACGGUAAAAAACCAUUCGUUGCCGUAAGUUAGGACAAUAGUGACCCAACGACCCCAGUUCCUUGAAGGUGGCAGUCACGACAUUAGGUGAAUAAUUGUGAGUUGAAGAUAAGUCGUUUGGAGGUGCAACACAGUUGGAGUAAAACAUUGGAUUGGGUACAGAAGAUGAACAGAAAGGAUGGAGGAGAGUAUUUGCAGUUGUUCCAGUAAUAGGAGGAAUAGUAUUGUUGCUUUGACUGCUGUUCCGG
RNAcentral lists this long non-coding RNA (1780 nucleotides) under Daphnia pulicaria. RNAcentral's name for it is "uncharacterized LOC124350314, transcript variant X11". Lineage: Eukaryota; Metazoa; Arthropoda; Branchiopoda; Diplostraca; Daphniidae. The record is from RNAcentral.